GAUGAACGCUGGCGGCGUGCCUAAUACAUGCAAGUCGAGCGAAGCGGGGACGGGUGAUUAACACGUGGCUAACCUCCUAUAAGACUGGGGUAAGUUCGGGAAACCGGAGCUAAACCGGAUACUAAUUGAUAGAUCCGCGCUGCAUUAGCUAGUUGGUAAGGUAACGGCUUACCAAGGCUACGAUGAAUAGCCGACCUGAGAGGAUGAUCGGCCACACUGGAACUGAGACACGGUCCAGAAUCCUACGGGAGGCAGCAGUAGGGAAUCUUGCGCAAUGGGCGAAAGCCUGACGGAGCAACGCCGCGUGAGUGAUGAAGGUCUUCGGAUCGUAAAACUCUGUUAUUUGGGAAGCGGUACCUACUCAGAAAGCAACGGCUAACUACGUGCCAGCAGCCGCGGUAAUAC
RNAcentral lists this ribosomal RNA (405 nucleotides) under uncultured bacterium. Its description in RNAcentral is "partial 16S ribosomal RNA". It matches the Rfam family "Bacterial small subunit ribosomal RNA", at positions 28 to 526 of the family's 1533-position model. The record is from RNAcentral.